UUAUAAGCCAAAAUGUGCUUAUAUCCCAAGCAGGGUGCACACCUCAGUCUUGUAUUACACAUCUCUCCCAGCCCAUGCUGGGAGAAAAACCUCCACCUUUACCCUCCUCCACCUCGCUAUGUGGAGGAAUUUCUGCUACCUGCUGUUUCUUUUAAGGUCAUAUUUUUCAACCUCUCGUGCACCAGAAUUUCCAAAUUUUAAGGCUUUUUAAACCUUUAUUUCUUUCUAAGAAUUUUUUUUUUCUGAUGCUUUUCAUUUGGUUUCUUCUUGAGUUGGUGGCAGACACAUAAUAGAUGGCAAGCAAGCCCAGUUAUCCCCAUGACAGAGCAGCCAAGUCUUCUCUUUCCAAGUAUGAUCUAUUUGCAGCCAUUAUUUAUCACAACUGAGGACUGUACAGAAAUGAAAACAGGAAAAUACCAGCUUGGCACGUCUGAUGGCUGCCAUACUAUGCCUGCUCAAUAUAGACCAAAUUAUUCAUUGUAAUCAAACUUCAGAGGGGAUGCUGAGUGCCAACAGCCUGCUGGCCAACGCCUCCCCAUGGACACCAGCAGCAGCCCCUGUCCCUCUGGCUCUUGCAGGCCCCUGCUGUGAGCUGGUCUUGAGGUUUCUGUGUUCAUGUCUGUCAGUGAGACUGCAGUGAUGGCUGGAAUAUGUGUUAAAUGUUGUUGUGUUGACUUCUGGACUCAGAAAACAGGCUGCGUAAAGCUCACUUGUAGCAUCUCAGAGCAAGAAUCACAAAGGAGUGUCCUGGACUGCAUGGGACCAGAGCUGGGAUCAGUGUCUGCAAAGCAAGGGUAGCUUUUCACAUGAACAUCUGUGCUUCCUCCAAAACCUGCCUGAUGGAGGAGACAGGCUGAUGUUUACUGAGCAUGUAUGGAAAGCUGGGCCAGUGCAGACUUCAGAGCUACUCCUGAAAGUGAGGCUGCAUCUGCUCUGCCCUGAUUCUAGCCAGGAUGCCUUUCCCCUUCCAUCAUGGACUUCUUACAUGAGUUCCAGAGUAACUGCAGGGGUGCAUCCCAAAAGACAUUCCUGGAGGUAGAUGCUGAUGUGCAGAAGACAAAAUAUAGCACUCUUCAAAGUGCUUUAGCCCCGUGUCCUCUACUGUUUGCUCAGCUCACUGAGUCACAUUUUUAUCAAAUUCUCACAGUGUAUUGAAAGCAAAGGGAUUAAAUAUUUAUUAUUGUGAUUACCUGCCUCUGUAAACAGCAUUAUGGUCCUGUCCUUUGUUUGCUUAUCGAUGUUCCACUGCAAGUGGACACACAUACAAGGGCAGGGGGAGCCAAGGAAGAGGGAAGGCUGUGCCUGAGCCCCCCAGCACAACAGGGAACCACAGACCUGCUGAUGGUUUCCAGACAACAUCAGUGGCUGGAGAUGGAAGGUUAAAGCACUGACAUAGUGAGGCAAUUCAUCAAACCCUCUCUUUGCUCUCAGCACAGGGUUAGCCUUGAGGGUCUCAUGGAGUUCAGAUCUUCUCUGGAAGCAGAGCACUAUGUUGAUGGAUACAGACAAGGCAGCUUGCUGUGCUCCUGGCUCCAGGGGCAUUGGAGCACGUCUCUUGGAUUGUGAGUCAGUGAAGCAUCUCUGGAGGCAGGUCUCAUGGACUCCCCAAAAGGACGUAAGCCCAGAUAUUGCAAGCCCUG
RNAcentral lists this long non-coding RNA (1640 nucleotides) under Phasianus colchicus (ring-necked pheasant). RNAcentral's name for it is "lncRNA (ENSPCLG00000011070.1)". Lineage: Eukaryota; Metazoa; Chordata; Aves; Galliformes; Phasianidae. The record is from RNAcentral.